GACGAACGCUGGCGGCGUGCCUAAUACAUGCAAGUAGAACGCUGAAGGAGGAGCUUGCUUCUCUGGAUGAGUUGCGAACGGGUGAGUAACGCGUAGGUAACCUGCCUGGUAGCGGGGGAUAACUAUUGGAAACGAUAGCUAAUACCGCAUAAUAGUAGAUGUUGCAUGACAUUUGCUUAAAAGGUGCAAUUGCAUCACUACCAGAUGGACCUGCGUUGUAUUAGCUAAUUGGUGGGGUAACGGCUCACCAAGGCGACGAUACAUAGCCGACCUGAGAGGAUGAUCGGCCACGCUGGGACUGAGACACGGCCCAGACUCCUACGGGAGGCAGCAGUAGGGAAUCUUCGGCAAUGGACGGAAGUCUGACCGAGCAACGCCGCGUGAGUGAAGAAGGUUUUCGGAUCGUAAAGCUCUGUUGUAAGAGAAGAACGAGUGUGAGAGUGGAAAGUUCACACUGUGACGGUAUCUUACCAGAAAGGGACGGCUAACUACGUG
RNAcentral lists this ribosomal RNA (495 nucleotides) under uncultured bacterium. Its description in RNAcentral is "partial 16S ribosomal RNA". It matches the Rfam family "Bacterial small subunit ribosomal RNA", at positions 28 to 507 of the family's 1533-position model. The record is from RNAcentral.